Molecule: transfer RNA, 73 nt
Filed under: Tunturiibacter empetritectus
Lineage: Bacteria; Pseudomonadati; Acidobacteriota; Terriglobia; Terriglobales; Acidobacteriaceae
Description: Tunturibacter empetritectus tRNA-OTHER
Source: RNAcentral
GUGCAGGCUGAUAAAGACGCGCUUAGCACUCCUAACGCGAAGGUCGCAGGUUGGACUCCUGCCCGGGCCACCA